UUUUCAAUCGAUUAGCUUUCCUUUUUAUAGAGUGAAAUGAGCUCCCCAAAAUCAUGUGUGGAUCCUUGGCAGAUGGUGCAAAAAGGAAUCAUUCCGUUAGCAUCAAAUCUUUCUUUAGAUUUUGGUGGGGACCAACGUAAAUAUGGUAGGAAACGGAUUUGAUUGUGGUCCCAAAAAAUCUCCAAAUGCGUGGUCGUCUUCACUGAAUCUCCC
RNAcentral lists this long non-coding RNA (213 nucleotides) under Lathyrus oleraceus (garden pea). Its description in RNAcentral is "Pisum sativum (pea) long non-coding RNA (PSAT_LNC039137)". Lineage: Eukaryota; Viridiplantae; Streptophyta; Magnoliopsida; Fabales; Fabaceae. The record is from RNAcentral.